Molecule: transfer RNA, 69 nt
Filed under: Marmota monax (woodchuck)
Lineage: Eukaryota; Metazoa; Chordata; Mammalia; Rodentia; Sciuridae
Description: tRNA.Ala
Source: RNAcentral
GCAUGUAGCUUGGUGGUAGAAUGCUUGCCUAGCAUGAAUGAGGCCCUGGGUUCAAUUCUCAGCACUGCA